This 1103-nucleotide long non-coding RNA is filed under the name Arabidopsis lyrata. RNAcentral describes it as "long non-coding RNA (ALYR_LNC000979)". Lineage: Eukaryota; Viridiplantae; Streptophyta; Magnoliopsida; Brassicales; Brassicaceae. The record is from RNAcentral.
ACAUACUUAGUAGAUUCAUAGUGUUGUUGUGAAUUUUUUGAUCAAAACACUUUGACUCAUAGUUUUUUGGUGAUUUUUCUGUCAAAAAAACUUAGAUUCAUACAAACCCAGAUACAUAGUUGUACAUAAGUGUACCAGUUGUACCUAAACACUUAGAUUCAUACAUAACAUUAGAAACCAAAACACAUCUGAACACACCAAGUCUUCUUCUGCUUCUUCUUCUGCUUCUUCUUCUCCUUAUCCUUCUCUUUCUCCUUCUCCUUCUCAGUCUCAGUCUCAGUCUCCUUUUCCUUUUCUUCCUCUCGUAAUAGAGAAACAAAUGUUAUAGGCUAAUAUAUACGUACAAAAAAUUUCAUCUAUGUCUGCAAUCCACUCCUUAUUAACUUACUUGAAACUAGAUUUCUUCCAAAAUUGACCAAGAGAAAUCAAUCAUCUUAAGAAGAGUUUACAAACAAAGUUACAACUUUCACUCAAUAUCUCCAAAUAAAAACAAGAAAAAGUAGCUACAUGUCGUCCGAAUUUCAAACCCGAAUUGUAAUUCAAAUCCUAUUAGUAAUCUUAAAAUCCGAACUGUAAUCAUAAAAAAUCCUAAUUGUAAUCGAAAUUCCAUUCAAAAUGCAUUUGUUUCAAACAAAAUCAAAGAGAAUUACAUAUCAAACCCUCACAGAGAAGAAUAAAUUGGAAGAAAUCAAAUCCUAAUUAAACCCAACACAAUAAAACAAAAUUAGGGAUCAAACAAAUGAAAUCUUACAAAGAGAAGACACGGCGGAGUUCUCACGGCAGAUUUCUCACGGCGGAUUUCUCGAUUUCACUGCGAAUUUCUCACGAAGAAGAAGAGAGAGGACGGAUCUUUGGAUCGAUAGAAACGAGUGAAGAGGGAAGAUGAAAAAGAUGAAUGAGUAUCGAUGGAAUCGAGAAAAGAGAGAAAAAAAAGAAGAAAGAAGAAGAAGAAAAGAGAUUGAAAGCUUUGUGUUUGUCGGAUUGUUGACUCGAGACAGAAAGAAACGAAGAAGAUGAAAAAGUCGUAGAGAGGAGAAAUAAAAAAAAAGUGAUUUGGAAAUUAGUGUUUGGAUUGACUUUGGGGAUAAAAGAUCUGAAAGUCA